GUCCCUGUAGCUCAGCUGGACAGAGCAGCGGCCUUCUAAGCCGCGGGUCGUGGGUUCGAAUCCCUCCAGGGACG
RNAcentral lists this transfer RNA (74 nucleotides) under SAR202 cluster bacterium. Its description in RNAcentral is "tRNA-Arg". It matches the Rfam family "tRNA". Rfam says of the family: Transfer RNA (tRNA) molecules are approximately 80 nucleotides in length. Their secondary structure includes four short double-helical elements and three loops (D, anti-codon, and T loops). Lineage: Bacteria; Bacillati; Chloroflexota; Dehalococcoidia. The record is from RNAcentral.